CCCGCACACGGCCCCCCGCGCCUUCCCGGCCGGGCGCGGACGUGUCCGCGCUGGCAGCUGCUGCCCCUAGCUCUGUGCAGGGCACAGCCUCGCGCCGGCACCUGGAACAGGGCCCAGGAGCUGGAGGCCCCUCUGAGUCAUGGUUUCCAGUAUCUCGCACCCUGGCCUCCGGGCCCACGGCUGCGUCAGGGCUGGGAGUCCUUCAGGGGCCCGGCCUCCGCAGCCCACGCAGCAUCUGGCCAUCGCAACGCAAAUGUGGGCAGUCUCUGCUCUUGCCCCAUCGGUGGGAUAUGCUCUCAGGGCUGAAGGCAGACACGGGCUGGACCAUUCCCCAAAGCGGCCAUUCGCUCCGUUUAGAACUACUUCAGCGUAACAGGCACCGAGGACCUCAUUUCGUAGUGUUUCUGCACAGCGGUCUGUGGGGGAGACAGGACUCUGUUGCCAAAGUUUCAGCCUCCACCAGCCGGCAGAGUGUGCUUGGCCACGCCCGUCCACACCCUGCCUCUCGCUCCCUAAAGGACCCACUGCGGGCCUCCCAACUUCCGGCUGAUUUCGGCUCAGUCUGCACCACUGUUUUAAGACAUUCAGGGUUUACGCGUCAUCUGCCGCUCCUGACUCCGAAGGUGAAGGCGGGGGUUUCGUCGCCCUCGGUGUUGCCUCCAGACCCCGUCCCCCAGCCUCUCCCAUGUCAGGCACCACCCGGCUCAGGUGGCCCGGCCCAGCCGUGGGGCCCCGGGCUGGUCGUCCCCAGGGCCGGCUGUGCCCUCCCCCACCAGAGGAGCAAGUCUGCCUUUGUUAAGACUUAGUUCCCACGGCACGAGUGAGAGGGGCCCGGGGCACCGGGUUCCUCCGACCCCGGGUGAGCCGGUCCGCCCGUCACAGAGGGGACUCUGUCCACGUGGCCCAGCGCCUCUCCAGCCCCCACCCCUCCAGCUCCUCCAGCAAAGUGUCGCCGGGUGCGUGGAUCCAAGUCCGAGGCUUCUCUGCACGGGUUCGCCCGGGGAACCGGGCUCCGGCUGGCGGGGCCGCUCCUCCGAGCAUGGCACGGCACGUGGAAGGGCCAGGCUGGGGCUGGCGGCACCCGUGGACGCAGCCACGGGCUGCAGGUGUGCACUACUUCUGCCCGCACCGCUCCCAAAGCUGCACCCUAAUAUGUUGUGAGUUCGUAUCCUGCCUUGUGCGGAUCAACGACCGCCUCGAUUUUCGAUUUUCCAAGUGCUCAGCUCACGGGGCUGUUGUGGAUUCUGCCCCCUCCCUGUCCAGCUGACGCGCUCCGGCGCUCUCCUGGGGACGCCCACCCGAGCCCCUGCGCUCAUGCCCGGAUGUGGUCUCUGCAAGCCUGUGUCCAGGAUGCGGACCGCCCCGUGGGCGUGCUCUCCAGCGGGCACCUCACAUUCUAUAGGAGCCUCAUUCAGAUCUGAAAAUACCUUCUUCCUCUCGUGCUGGACUGAAAAAGUGUUUGGUUUGGAACUUCCAGUAGGAAAUUAUUGUCCUAAAAACCAGAAAGGCAUUGCUCAUGGUGUUCUGGGUUCCGUGUUGCUAUUUAGGACUCCAGGGCCAUUCCGACAUCCAAACUCAGGCAGCUGCUGGUUUUCUCUUCGGCCUCGGAGCCCAGCAGGCCGCGCGGGGGAGGGUCCACUCGGGGCGCCCGCGGCUUUGCUCUUGCAGCCUGGAGAGCCAGGAGCUUCUGUGCGUGGGAGCUCACUUUCUGCUUUCUGUUUCUGGAACUCCUUGGGUCAGACGUGGGGCCGUGUGCAUGUGGACCCCUAACUUGUGUGAACUCCUGCUUCUCCAGAGCUCACUCUGCUUCCUAGGGUAUUUGCAUACUUUUUUAAAGCUUUAAAAAUGUUUAUUUAUCUUUGAGAGAGAGAGAGAGAGAGCAGAGGAGGGGCAGAGAGAGAGGGAGACACAGAAUCGGAAGCAGGCUCCAGUCUCCGAGCUGUCAGCACAGGGCCUGACGUGGGGCCUGAACCCACGGACCGUGAGAUCAUGACCUGAGCUGAAGUCAGAUGCUUAACUGGCUGAGCCCCCCAGCUGCCUUAGGGUAUUUCAAUUUUGCCUUCAACUCUUCCUGUGAAUUUUUAUUUGUGCCGUCAUUUUUCAAGUUUCCAAAUUAAUUUAAUUUUAAUUUCUUUAAUUUUUUAAUUUCCAGGAGCUCAGCACUCUGAACAAUUCCUUUUACCUCCACUGUGUUUUCUCUGAUUAUGACCACUUUUCGUAUCUUUCCACAAUCAUGAGGGUUUCCCCUGCUCCCUGGAUUUUCCGUUGCUGGCAAGGUCUGGCGGUUGGCCCUCUGGGGGAAAAAGCCUGACUUAGGAUGCUGUCCAAUUUCCAUAGUGUAAAUUCUCUCAUCACGGACAACUGCAAGUUACCGGCAACUGGCUGCCCAGAUUCCUGAAAACUGAACGAAUCCCUCUGAGGGGCCGGCGCAAGGCAGCUCCCGUCCAGGGCCGGCCGCAGCCCCCGAAGGUGCCGGGCCCGCGGUCCUCCCGGCAGCCGGAGCACGUCCGGGAGGUGCCGGCGGAGGGUCUCGGGCAUUCUCUCCGGCUCGGCCGCGUCGCGCGGCUGUGGGUGCUGUGGGGGCGCCGAGGGCCUCCCCGUCUUGGGACCUGAGCACGACGCCGCGCGCCUCACACACCGGGAGAGCUCCCGCCGGCUUCCUUGUGAGCCCUGUCUCCUCCGUCCCUGCGGGCUCCCGCUGUGUCCCCCUUGCUGUCCUGCUCGCAGAGUCAGGAGGAAAGUUAGAAGAACCCAGCCCAGAUCCCUUAGAGGACUGACCCCUAGAGUGAUCCUGUCACUGCGGCGGCGAAAGCCUCGCCUUUCCAGAGAGGGCCACCUCUGACCCUCUGAGCUCAGGGACAACGGCCACUCAGUGGGGAGACUCCCUUUCUCUUCCAAGGAGACUGACUCUCACUCUCGAGUCCCUGACCUCCCCGCGCGGGACGGGUGGCAGGAAACACAACCACUCUUUAAGGGGACGGUCAGGAGGCCUAGGUCCCUGACCGAGGGGCGGGAGGGCCACAGACCCCACCCCAAGCCCAGAGUCCUCGAAGGCGGGCGCUGCCGUGUGUCCUCCGUGCCGCGUGGCCGGCAGGGACUCGCCUUCUCCUCCCUCGGACGCGCUGGCGGGUCCCACCGCGCGGCUGGGCUCAGGGAGUGGAAGGCAGUGGGUCCGGACGGGCGGUCGGAGCUGGUGACACGUGGUCGGAGGCGGCAGUGCAGAGAGCCCGGCAUGGCGGUGAGACCACCAGGGAGCGAGGGGCUGGCUCAUGGGCAAGACUCCGGAGAAUGUUCUGGUCGAGUCAUUUUCGGGGGUGCUCAAACUGCACGUUCAUCUGCAUGCAAACCACUCCUCCCUGUAAUUUUGGGAGAAACCAGCAGCCGAGAGAGGGGCGGGCGGCAGGCUGGUGUUUCUGAAGGACAGACCACGUCUCUCCAGUGUCAGGCGACCCCGCCAGAUGAGUCACGCAGGGGUGACUAACUCCUGCCUCGUUUCCAGGACGCCUUCCCAGCGCCCAGUGCCAAGAAUGCAUUCCAGAGGGAUGCCGGUCCGCGCUGCUCAGCCCCACGCGCCCAGAAGAUGGGCGCCCGCGGGUCCUUGUGGGGCCCCACGUGCCGCCGUCCUGGGACGACGGUGGGAGUCGGGAUGCCUGCUCUGCGUCUGCCUGGGCCCCUGGGAAGCCGGGGAGUGGGAGCCCCACCCGCCCCACCCUGGCGGGCGGGAAGGAGACCAGUAUUCAGGUUGACAGAAGCUGAGAACCUUCCUUGUCUGCCUCUUAAUUAUGUGACCACAACAGCUUUAAUUGCUGCCCGCUAUAAUGAGCAAUUAAAAAUGUAAAAUGUUUACCUGGACCGAGGCUCCUACGCGCUAUGGCGGAGGCUUGACGGCGAGGAGGCUUUCCAACUUAGAUGUCGCUGAGAACCGAACCCAGCGGUGCCUGUGGCUGAGCCCCGGGCUCGACGGGGCGUCCUCGGCGUCGGCCUUUCUGGUCGAGUCCGGCGCAUGGUCUUGGUGGCCGCGUGUCCCAGCCCCACCCCGGCGUCCUGGGAUGCGCUUCCCCCAGGCUCCCAGGAGGCGUGAGGAUAAGGCAUUUUGUCGCGACCACAGGUCAAGUUAUCAGGCCCACAUUUGAGCCUCAAACCUCCCUUGUUCACUUCCCUCCCCCUGUGACUUCACAUACGAGGGCAGUGUGGGUAUUCGUCCUGACGUGCGUGUGUUUACACGGGACACAUCAACAUCAUUCCCCCUCAGCAGGAUCCAGAGACGGACCCAGUUCCCCAAAGAUCAGAGCAAGCAGCUGCCGGCCUGAUUUGCUGGUGUCGCUUCUCCAAAGCUUACCUGAGGACACAACUAAGGUUCGUGGCGAAUCCCGCAAAAGGCCACGGCAAGGCUGGUGUGGCUGCACGAAGGCCCCACGGCGCUCGUGGGCUGCGGGGGGGCGGGGGGCUCCUGCGGGCGUGUGCCUCACUCCAUGCGGGUCGAUUGACUCCAACACGGUUUGGAUCUGAGAGGCGCCCUGGCUCAGAUCCAGGGUCGCUAAUUAUUAAAGAAGCACUCGUGGUU
This is a long non-coding RNA of Leopardus geoffroyi (Geoffroy's cat), 4564 nucleotides long. RefSeq lists it as uncharacterized. The transcript is spliced from 2 exons. The record is from RefSeq and is a predicted model, not a curated record. NCBI's taxonomy places the organism in Eukaryota, Metazoa, Chordata, Mammalia, Carnivora, Felidae.